UUCUUAUUGAAUGAUGACGGUCAUGUGUUAUGUUAUAAUUGAAUAUAAAUUCCAUGAAAAAUAAAAUAUAUGAUUAUUUUUAUUAACCAAUCAGAACAUGAUACAUGAUCGUCAUCAUCU
Non-coding RNA from Glycine soja, 120 nucleotides. Lineage: Eukaryota; Viridiplantae; Streptophyta; Magnoliopsida; Fabales; Fabaceae. The record is from Rfam.